GCAGAACUGGCGAUGCGGG
RNAcentral lists this non-coding RNA (19 nucleotides) under Arabidopsis thaliana (thale cress). The record is from RNAcentral. Lineage: Eukaryota; Viridiplantae; Streptophyta; Magnoliopsida; Brassicales; Brassicaceae. RNAcentral also lists the same sequence under 1 other name.